Molecule: ribosomal RNA, 492 nt
Filed under: uncultured bacterium
Lineage: Bacteria
Description: partial 16S ribosomal RNA
Rfam family: Bacterial small subunit ribosomal RNA
Source: RNAcentral
AUUGAACGCUGGCGGCAUGCCUUACACAUGCAAGUCGAACGGCAGCACGGGUACUUCCUCCUGGUACCGGUGGCUGAACGGGUGCGUAAUACAUCGGCACCUGUACUGUCGUUUUCGAUAGCCCUGCCGAAGCCGGACUUAUACUGCAACCGAACUCCAGCUGCGAGCGAGAGCACGUGAUCUUUCGACCUUUCGCGUUUGCAUGAGCCGGUGUCGGAUUAGCUAGUUGGUGGGGUAAAGGCCGACCAAGGCGACGAUCUGUAGCUGGUCUGAGAGGAUGAUCAGCCACACUGGAACUGAGACACGGUCCAGACUCCUACGGGAGGCAGCAGUGGGGAAUAUUGGACAAUGGGCGCAAGCCUGAUCCAGCAAUGCCGCGUGGGUGAAGAAGGCCUUCGGGUUGUAAAGCCCUUUUGUUGGGAAAGAAAAGCAGCAGGUUAAUACGGCGGUGUGAUGACGGUACCGAAAGAAUAAGCACCGGCUAACUACGUG